RNAcentral lists this ribosomal RNA (525 nucleotides) under uncultured bacterium. RNAcentral's name for it is "bacterial SSU rRNA". It matches the Rfam family "Bacterial small subunit ribosomal RNA", at positions 1 to 526 of the family's 1533-position model. The record is from RNAcentral.
AUUAGAGUUUGAUCCUGGCUCAGAUUGAACGCUGGCGGCAUGCUUUACACAUGCAAGUCGAACGGCAGCGCGGGGCAGCCUGGCGGCGAGUGGCGAACGGGUGAGUAAUACAUCGGAACGUACCCAGAAGUGGGGGAUAACGUAGCGAAAGUUACGCUAAUACCGCAUACGAUCUACGGAUGAAAGUGGGGGACCUUCGGGCCUCAUGCUUUUGGAGCGGCCGAUGUCUGAUUAGCUAGUUGGUGAGGUAAAGGCUCACCAAGGCGACGAUCAGUAGCUGGUCUGAGAGGACGACCAGCCACACUGGGACUGAGACACGGCCCAGACUCCUACGGGAGGCAGCAGUGGGGAAUUUUGGACAAUGGGCGCAAGCCUGAUCCAGCAAUGCCGCGUGAGUGAAGAAGGCCUUCGGGUUGUAAAGCUCUUUUGUCAGGGAAGAAACGGCUGAGGAUAAUACCUUCGGCUAAUGACGGUACCUGAAGAAUAAGCACCGGCUAACUACGUGCCAGCAGCCGCGGUAAUAAU